This 438-nucleotide ribosomal RNA is filed under the name Rheumatogonus luzonicus. RNAcentral describes it as "partial 16S ribosomal RNA". The record is from RNAcentral. Lineage: Eukaryota; Metazoa; Arthropoda; Insecta; Hemiptera; Gerridae.
GGUCUUUUGUAUUUAUUAUAAGAUCGGGCCUGCCCAUUGAUUUAGAUAUUAAAAGGCUGCGGUAUUUUAACUGUACGAAGGUAGCAUAAUCAUUUGUCUUUUAAUUGGAGGCUAGAAUGAAUGGUUUGAUGAAAUACAAUCUUUCUUAUUUUAAUUUAAUUUAAUUUAAUUUUUUAGUUAAAAAGCUGAAAUUUUUUUAUAGGACGAGAAGACCCUAUAGAAGUUAACUUUUUUUAUAUAAUUAUAUAUUUUUUUGUUUUUUUAUUUUUAUUUAAUAAAAAGUUUUGUUGGGGUGACAUUAAAAUUUAUUUAACUUUUAUUAAUUAUUUCAUAGAUAAAUGUUUUUAUGAUCCAGAAUUUUUGAUUAUAAGAUUAACUUACCUUAGGGAUAACAGCGUAAUUUUUUCGGAGAGUUCAUAUCGAUGAAAAAGUUUGCGA